AUGCUCCUCCACUCUUCCGGUUGCCGCGGCAGUCUCCUGUUCCGCAGCGGCUUCCCCUUCCCGGCCACCACCACCCGCAGAAACCUAAGGGCGCUCACAACCGCAGCAGCUACUCCCAACAUGUAUCGCGGCGGGCGCGGCGGCGGCACCAACUCCCAGCGUGGUCGCGGGCGCGGGCGCGGCGGCGGAGGCAGAGGAGGCCGUGGCGGCGGCGGCGGGGGCCGUGGUGAGCAGAGAUGGUGGGAUCCGCAGUGGCGCGCCGAGCGGCUGCGGCAGAUGGCCUCAGAGGUGGAAAAGGUUGAUGAGCAUGAGUGGUGGAAUACGAUUGGGCAAUUAAGAGAAGGAUCUCAGCAGGAGUUAGUAGUCAAGAAGAAUUUCGGACGUGAUGGACAGAAUACACUUGCACAUAUUGCUCAGAGACACGGCCUUUACUUCAAUGCAUACAACAAAGGGAAGACACUUGUUUUUAGCAAAGUGCCACUGCCUGAUUACCGAGCAGAUCUUGAUGAGAGGCAUGGAUCAUCACAAAACGAGAUUAAGAUGUCCAAUGAGACAGAGAGACGAGUGGAAAACCUUUUAUCCAGGGCACAGUCAAAUAACAAUGCUUCUGCUAGCACAUCCACUGUCUCAAUGAGGCAAUCUUUGCCCAGCACAUCCACGGCAGUAGCUGAAUCAACAACAUAUGUUGAUAAACAGAAGCUAAGUUUUCAGCUUAGGGAUAUGCAGAGAUCAAAAAAGAUGAUGCCAAGUGCUAGAUCAAUGCAGUCUUUCAGGGAAAAAUUACCAGCAUUCAAAGCGAGAGAGGAGUUUUUGAAAGCAGUAGCAGCUAAUCAGGUUUUGGUCAUAUCUGGUGAGACAGGUUGUGGUAAAACAACACAGCUUCCGCAGUUCAUACUAGAAGAGGAGAUAGAUAACCUUCGUGGUGCUGAUUGCAGCAUAAUAUGUACUCAACCCCGCCGUAUAUCUGCCAUAUCGGUUGCAGCACGUGUAGGAUCUGAGAGAGGUGAAGAGCUUGGUGAGACUGUUGGAUACCAGAUUCGCCUUGAAUCAAAACGUUCCACACAAACACGACUGCUCUUCUGCACGACAGGAGUUUUGCUUAGAAAACUGGUUCAGGAGCCAGACUUAGUUGGUGUAAGUCAUUUACUAGUUGACGAAAUUCAUGAACGUGGCAUGAAUGAAGAUUUUCUCAUCAUCAUUUUACGCGACCUUCUGCCAAGGCGUCCUGACCUUCGUCUUGUAUUGAUGAGUGCAACAAUAAAUGCUGAACUAUUUUCCAAAUACUUUGGAGAUGCCCCAAUUAUGCAUAUUCCGGGUUUCACUUUUCCUGUUGCCGAGUUAUUUCUGGAAGAUAUUUUGGAAAAGACCCAAUACAAAAUCAAGUCUGAACGUGAUAAUUUUCAAGGAAAUUCAAGAAAAAAGAGACUUGCUUCAGUUAAGAAUGAUCCAUUGGCUGAUGUUUUCCAGGAUGUCGACAUUAAUAAGGAGUACGGAAACUAUAGCAUUACAACAAGGCAGUCCCUUGAAGCUUGGUCUGUCACUGAACUGGAUUUGAGCCUUGUGGAAGGUACGAUUGAGUAUAUCUGUCGUCAUGAAGGAGAAGGUGCAAUCCUUGUAUUCCUUACUGGUUGGGACGAAAUUUCAAAACUUUUGGACAAGAUUAAAGGGAAUAAUCUGCUUGGCAAUUCCAAUAAGUUCCUAGUUCUCCCACUGCAUGGCUCUAUGCCAACUGUUAAUCAGCGUGAAAUUUUUGACAGAGCACCAGCUAAUAUGAGAAAAAUUGUUCUGGCAACAAAUAUUGCAGAAAGCAGUAUUACAAUAGAUGAUGUUGUGUAUGUAAUUGAUUGUGGUAAAGCGAAGGAGACAAGUUAUGAUGCCUUGAAUAAGCUAGCGUGCCUUCUACCAUCGUGGAUAUCAAAAGCCUCUGCUCAUCAGAGGCGAGGCCGUGCAGGCCGUGUUCAGCCAGGUGUUUGCUAUAGGUUGUACCCGAAAGUCAUUCAUGAUGCCAUGCCUCAGUUUCAGCUGCCUGAAAUUCUUAGGACUCCACUGCAAGAACUGUGCCUUACUAUCAAAAGCUUACAGCUUGGAGCAGUCGCUUCUUUCUUAGCCAAGUCACUGCAACCCCCAGAUCCGCUUUCUGUUAAGAAUGCGAUUGAGCUUCUGAAAACCAUUGGAGCGCUGGAUGAUUUGGAGGAGCUCACUUAUUUAGGACGACAUCUAUGUACACUACCACUGGAUCCAAACAUUGGAAAGAUGCUGCUCAUUGGAUCCGUCUUCCAGUGCCUGGAUCCUGCAUUAACAAUCGCUGCUGCUCUUGCUUAUCGUAAUCCAUUUGUGCUCCCAAUAGAUAGAAAAGAAGAAGCAGAUGCUGUCAAAAGAUCAUUUGCUGGUGACUCCUGCAGUGAUCACAUUGCCCUUCUUAAGGCAUUUGAAGCAUGGAAGGAAGCAAAACGCAGUGGAAGGGAGCGUUCUUUCUGUUGGGAAAAUUUUCUGUCUCCUAUGACCCUGAAGAUGAUGGAUGACAUGCGAAAUCAAUUUUUUGAUCUACUUUCUGAUAUUGGAUUUGUUAGCAAGACAAGAGGAGUGAAGGCAUAUAACCAUUAUGGCAAGGAUCUGGAGAUGGUUUCCGCUGUUUUAUGUGCUGGGCUUUACCCAAAUGUCAUACAGUGCAAAAGACGGGGCAAGAGGACAGCAUUCUACACCAAAGAUGUCGGAAAGGUGGACAUUCACCCAUCAUCAGUCAAUGCAGGAGUGCAGCAAUUCCCAUUGCCUUAUCUGGUUUACAGCGAGAAGGUGAAAACUGCUAGCAUUUAUGUGAGGGACUCCACAAACAUAUCAGAUUAUGCUCUUCUACUUUUUGGUGGUUCCUUAAGUCCAAGUAACACCGGAGAAGGCAUCGAGAUGCUUGCGGGGUAUCUUCAUUUCUCUGCACCAAAGCGUAUCAUAGAGUUGAUCCAGAGAUUAAGAGGUGAAUUGGACAAACUCCUUCAGAGGAAGAUUGAGGAACCUGCACUUGACAUCUUUUCGGAAGGGAAAGGGGUUGUGGCUGCGGCCAUAGAACUGUUGCACAGUCAAAACAUUUACCACUAG
RNAcentral lists this ribosomal RNA (3090 nucleotides) under Triticum aestivum (bread wheat). RNAcentral describes it as "partial small subunit ribosomal RNA". The record is from RNAcentral. Lineage: Eukaryota; Viridiplantae; Streptophyta; Magnoliopsida; Poales; Poaceae.